GUUUUAAUAGUUUAACAUAGAACUUUGGUCUUGUAAACCAAGAGUGAAUUUUUUUAUUCUUAAAGCA
Molecule: transfer RNA, 67 nt
Filed under: Oratosquilla oratoria
Lineage: Eukaryota; Metazoa; Arthropoda; Malacostraca; Stomatopoda; Squillidae
Also listed under: 1 other name
Description: tRNA-Thr
Rfam family: tRNA
About the family: Transfer RNA (tRNA) molecules are approximately 80 nucleotides in length.
Source: RNAcentral